GAUGAACGCUGGCGGCGUGCUUAACACAUGCAAGUCGAACGGAGUGCUCAUGACGGAGUUUUCGGACAACUGAUUGAGUUACUUAGUGGCGGACGGGUGAGUAACGCGUGAGGAACCUGCCUCGGAGUGGGGAAUAACAACCCGAAAGGGUUGCUAAUACCGCAUAACAUCUUUAGACGGCAUCGUUUAGAGAUCAAAGAUUUAUCGCUUGGAGACGGUCUUAUAUUCUAUCAGCUAGUUGGUGGGGUAACGGCCUACCAAGGCUACGACGGAUAGCCGGCCUGAAAGGGCGACCGGCCACAAGGGCACUGAGACACGGGCCCU
RNAcentral lists this ribosomal RNA (324 nucleotides) under uncultured bacterium. Its description in RNAcentral is "bacterial SSU rRNA". It matches the Rfam family "Bacterial small subunit ribosomal RNA", at positions 28 to 334 of the family's 1533-position model. The record is from RNAcentral.